GGCUCCACAAGCUCAGGUUUUUCAGCCCUAGGAAGGUUUAAGAAGUAAUGUAACAACUCGUCCGCCGGGGAAGCCGAAAGGCGUUUUCAUUAGACGAGCAACCAGCCAGCAGCCUCGUUACCUGAUUCCGCCCGGUCAGGAAGCGCAACUGCCACCUUUCAUUACUGGCACACAGAUGGUGAUGUGAGCAAAAAUGUGCCUGGAAAACGAAGCGGCGUUCUGGAGAAUUUGGCCUUGAUUAGCUAGCGACAUUUUAAUAUAUUUUUGCCGGAAAAAUUGGCUGAAAAAAAGGAGAAGAGAUCCAAAAGAAAUGUGACCUGUAUUUUCCCUUUUUCCCUUUGAUGGGCUUAACUCAAAGUAUCUUCCUCUCCCGGCUUACCCACUCCGUCUGAUUCUGCUGUACGGUCAUAAUCGCAGGAAGAGGAAUUGCCGUCUGCUGCUCUGGAGAUGACAGUAAUGUCUCAAAUAUUUCUUUAUGACUUCC
Molecule: long non-coding RNA, 484 nt
Filed under: Ornithorhynchus anatinus (platypus)
Lineage: Eukaryota; Metazoa; Chordata; Mammalia; Monotremata; Ornithorhynchidae
Description: lncRNA (ENSOANG00000042909.1)
Source: RNAcentral